UUGGUUAUCCUGGUGAGUGUUCAAGAAGUGAGGCAUGCUGAUAUAUAAAGGCUCUUUUAGAAUAUAGUUUGAUGGUGGUAAUAUGUUAAGUUGCUAUUCUGGCGUGGACAUAUUUCCUGGUUACUUAUUUCUGGUAUAAAAACCCAACCUUGCCAACAUCCAAACCAGUUGCAAUUUUGUUGUUUGCUGGAGUCAUGGCAGCCUUGCUACAUCAGGAGUCCCGGCGCAUGUACUCUUGGUGGUGGGACAGCCACAUUAGCCCGAAGAAUUCAAAAUGGCUUCAGGAAAAUCUUACAGGUAUAUUCCAAUAUCUUCUAUAAUUUUGAUGGGUAACCAUGCUUGAGCAACAGCUGUUUAUGAAUCAUAAUAAUCAUCUAUUUGUCUCACAUACAUACAUUUAUUUGUAUAUGGUUUGUUUGUUUUGAGGAAGUAGCAACUCUCAUUAGUAGUUUAAAAGCAAAGUUAGAUUUCUUCGUGGAUUCCCCAACUUAGUGCGCCCUCAUCACCUGGAAUGUUUAACUGUCCUUACCACAUAAUUUGAAGAUGACUUUGGGUUCAUGUUGAUAAAGAGUAGAUGACUUUCCCUGAUCUUUGAAAAACCAGGAAUUGUUUUGUAUAUGAACUGAAACCCAACCUAGUUCAAAUAAUUUAUCGCUUGAACCGUUCAUUCAAUCUCUUUCGCUAUUUAAACAUCUAUUAUUAUUAUUAUCAUCAAUAUUAUGUUUGGCUUCUGUUAAAAGCCAUCAAGUCUUCUCAGGUCAGGUAUUAGGUUAUCACAAAGACCUAAAAUAACCAAGCAAUCUUUUAUAUUAGCUGACAUUACAACAUGAAACAUAUUGUACAUUUGGAUGAUCCGAGGAUGCCAUCUUGCUGUUCCGAGGUUUCCAAUCUAACUGUUAUAUUUUUAAGAGAAGUAUAACUCUGAUGGUUGUCAGCUUGCUUCAUCAAAAAAGCAUUUGCUUUGCAGUUUUUUUUUUCUUUUUUUAACACCCAUUUGAAUGGUAGUUUUUGUUAUCUGAUCAGAACCCAUUACUGGAUUGAUUCAUUUGGUAAGUUUUUGAUCUUGCUGUUGUUGAAGAAUCGUUUUUGGAGCUGUUUCUGAAGUGGCACUUUUGCUUAUGGUGUAUUCUUUUUCUGUGUUUCUCAGAGUUGUAGCUUUUCUUGGUGAUCAGAUCUUGUCUUCAUUUCUGUCCUUUUGGUAAGUACUUUGAUCUGAUGAUUGAUUUGAAAGCUAUAUAUGCAGUUCCUUGUUGAGUCGAUUGUUCAUGCAAGAUAAUGCCUUCCCGCUUCUUUAAAUGGAGAUUGUUACAUGAUUUUUUUUCCUGAAAACAAUCUUCUGAUCUUUCCUGAUCAGUAAUAAUUUCCCUUCCGUUUAAUCACUUGCAUUUACUCUUAUUAAUCAAGUAUUUAUAAUGCUGCAUAUUACUGGGUUCUUACGUCUUGUACUUCUGGAAAUCAUAUGAUGUUCUUUGAUUGUGUUUAUGUGUUUGUUUCUUAGCAAUUACAUUUGUUACUUAUGAGUGUUUGUAUGCUGUUAAUCUUAACUUCUCAGAGCCUUCUUUAUCUAUAGAAAUUGAAGAUCUAAUUUGCCUUUACUUUUUUCAUAUGUCAGUGUGCAUCUGAUUUGCUAUUUUAAAAGGUUAUUGAAGUAAGGAGCCACAUUUGCUUAAAUUGACAAGAGUGAUGCUCAAUUGAACAGGUAAUUUCCAAUCUCCGUUGAACUUGAUGAGUUAGUUAUCUGUUCAUCCCAUUGUCUAAAUAAGUUGAUGUGAAUAAUCUGUUUCUGAUCAUCUUUUAUUUUUACAGUUACUUGGUUAUCCUGGUGAGUGUUCAAGAAGUGAGGCAUGCUGAUAUAUAAAGGCUCUUUUAGAAUAUAGUUUGAUGGUGGUAAUAUGUUAAGUUGCUAUUCUGGCGUGGACAUAUUUCCUGGUUACUUAUUUCUGGUAUAAAAACCCAACCUUGCCAACAUCCAAACCAGUUGCAAUUUUGUUGUUUGCUGGAGUCAUGGCAGCCUUGCUACAUCAGGAGUCCCGGCGCAUGUACUCUUGGUGGUGGGACAGCCACAUUAGCCCGAAGAAUUCAAAAUGGCUUCAGGAAAAUCUUACAGGUAUAUUCCAAUAUCUUCUAUAAUUUUGAUGGGUAACCAUGCUUGAGCAACAGCUGUUUAUGAAUCAUAAUAAUCAUCUAUUUGUCUCACAUACAUACAUUUAUUUGUAUAUGGUUUGUUUGUUUUGAGGAAGUAGCAACUCUCAUUAGUAGUUUAAAAGCAAAGUUAGAUUUCUUCGUGGAUUCCCCAACUUAGUGCGCCCUCAUCACCUGGAAUGUUUAACUGUCCUUACCACAUAAUUUGAAGAUGACUUUGGGUUCAUGUUGAUAAAGAGUAGAUGACUUUCCCUG
This 2397-nucleotide long non-coding RNA is filed under the name Citrus sinensis (sweet orange). Its description in RNAcentral is "long non-coding RNA (CSIN_LNC003796)". Lineage: Eukaryota; Viridiplantae; Streptophyta; Magnoliopsida; Sapindales; Rutaceae. The record is from RNAcentral.